GUGUGCCAAAGGUUGGAAAGGAAGUACGCGAUUCAACCCAUCCAGCAGUCCCACGUACAUAAGGGAGUAUCAACGCAAACCAUCAACUAGCUUGUUUGAGGGAAGAAGUACAGAAAGUGGUUCACAUGUUGAAAUCUUGGGAAAUAUGCUUUUAUUGAAGAUUUACUAGGAGUUGCUGCUGGAGCCACCGGUGCUGAGAUUGGAGGUGAUAGG
This 213-nucleotide unclassified non-coding RNA is filed under the name Hevea brasiliensis (rubber tree). The record is from RNAcentral. Lineage: Eukaryota; Viridiplantae; Streptophyta; Magnoliopsida; Malpighiales; Euphorbiaceae.